CGAUAUCAAAAAUUCCACUCCUUGGUCAAACUUCUCAAAAACCUUCAAAUUUCUAUCUUUAGUCAAAUGAAUCCAAAAUGACCCACGGACCUUCAAAUUCACUUUCGAUCGCACUCCCAACUCCAGAGUCACAAUACGGAGCUAUUCACAGACUUGAAAUUACAAACGGACAUUGAUAACACUGAAAUACACUUCAAGCCAAACUUAUGAAAUUUCUUUCAAAAUUCUAACUUCCACAAUAGGCGCCAAAACGUCCCCGGGUCAUCCAAGACCUGAUCCGAGCAUACGCCCAAGUCCAAAAUCGCAAUACAAACCUACUGAAACCUUCAGAUACUCAUUCUGAGGUCAUUUACUCAAAAAUCGAAUCUUAGGUAAUUCUUUCAACUUUAAGCUUCCGAAAUGAGAAUGUUCCUUCCAAAUCAACUCUGAACUUCCCGAAAUCCAAUUCUGACCAUACGUACAAGUCAUAACACCUGUAAUGAAGC
This 485-nucleotide long non-coding RNA is filed under the name Nicotiana benthamiana. Its description in RNAcentral is "long non-coding RNA (NBEN_LNC041192)". Lineage: Eukaryota; Viridiplantae; Streptophyta; Magnoliopsida; Solanales; Solanaceae. The record is from RNAcentral.